RNAcentral lists this ribosomal RNA (494 nucleotides) under uncultured bacterium. RNAcentral's name for it is "partial 16S ribosomal RNA". It matches the Rfam family "Bacterial small subunit ribosomal RNA", at positions 28 to 507 of the family's 1533-position model. The record is from RNAcentral.
GACGAACGCUGGCGGCGUGCUUAACGCAUGCAAGUCGAACGGAAAGGCCUGCUUUCCCUUGUGGAUUGCGGGUACUCGAGUGGCGAACGGGUGAGUAACACGUGAGUGAUCUGCCCCCAACUUGGGUAUAAGCCUGGGAAACUGGGUCUAAUUCCCGAUAGGACUGCAGGGUGGUGCCUGUGGUGGAAAACGAUUUUCUAGUGGUUGGGGAUGAGCUCGCGGCCUAUCAGCUUGUUGGUGGGGUAAUGGCCUACCAAGGCGGCGACGGGUAGCCGGCCUGAGAGGGUGGACCGCCACAUUGGGACUGAGAUACGGCCCAGGCUCCUACGGGAGGCAGCAGUGGGGAAUAUUGCACAAUGGGCGGAAGCCUGAUGCAGCGACGCCGCGUGGGGGAUGACGGCCUUCGGGUUGUAAACUCCUUUCGACCGCGAGGAAGCCACCUGGUUGGAAGGGUGGUGACGGUAGUGGUAGAAGAAGCACCGGCUAACUACGUG